RNAcentral lists this long non-coding RNA (841 nucleotides) under Panax ginseng (ginseng). Its description in RNAcentral is "long non-coding RNA (PGIN_LNC009392)". The record is from RNAcentral. Lineage: Eukaryota; Viridiplantae; Streptophyta; Magnoliopsida; Apiales; Araliaceae.
GUAGUGAAAUUGCGAUACCUUAACCGCUAUUACUCUCCUAUAACGAGAUUACCGAGAGGAGAAAGACGGAGAAUACUCUGCUCUGCAAAAUCCCUUCUCACUUCUCUCUCUUCCCCUUCAUCAAAUUCCAAUUUCCACCCAUCUAUUUCACCAAUAUGAUGUUUCUUGAAGCACUACUCUUCAUUGUCGGCCUCACUUUCCUCGUUUCUAUUAUUACGGCAAAGCUCCUGUCAAUGGCGUCGGGAUUUACUCCUGAUAGCACUCUGCCUCCCUCAGUAGCCGCGGUUAUAUACGUAGACAAGCACGAUAAACAAUCGGCAAUUGCUUGUGUAGAAAGCAAAAAAGGGAUUUUUAUACUUUCUGAAGAAUCGGCAAAAGUUAAUGAUCGUAAAGAGGAAGAAUUUAUGAGGAUUGAAAAUACCCACUGUUGGGUCAUGAUAUUUCUCCUAUUUUGGGCCAGGUAUAUUGGGCCCAUUUAUCAGUUUAAUCUGUUGGGCUUUUAUAAUUAAGCCAUGGGACUCUUUGAGCCCAUUUAUUGUGUCAACUUUAUUUAAUCCUAUUGGACCGGGUCAGUUCGUUGGAUUAACCCAUUGGGUCAUUUAAUAUCUAUUACUUUGACUUGUAAUGAUGAUAUAGUAUGACAGUUGACCAAGAUAUUUGUCAUGCAUUAAUGUGGAUGGGAUUAUAGUCGGCCGGCGGUGCAAACAAUGGCCAAGCGCAGUGGAUGAACUCCAUGCAGUCGGUCGAACCCAUCAGGUCAGGGGAUAUGUCAGGUUAUAGUGGGCGGCACGAUAAUCCAAGCAAGGAUAUUAUUUCUUAGUGAGUAAGUCUUCACAAGGAG